This 448-nucleotide long non-coding RNA is filed under the name Eutrema salsugineum. Its description in RNAcentral is "long non-coding RNA (ESAL_LNC001206)". The record is from RNAcentral. Lineage: Eukaryota; Viridiplantae; Streptophyta; Magnoliopsida; Brassicales; Brassicaceae.
UCCAGUUUACAUAAAAACGCUCUGCACUUAUGAGUAAUUUAUGGUCAAUGGCUUAAGUAUUGAUCUUUAAUCACAACAGUGCAUUGGAGCUACAACUUUAGACGAGUACCGAAAGCACAUUGAGAAAGACCCGGCAUUGGAAAGAAGAUUCCAGCCAGUGAAAGUACCUGAACCUACCGUGGAUGAAACUAUUCAGAUAUUGAAGGGUCUGCGUGAGCGAUACGAAAUUCAUCACAAGCUUCGUUACACUGACGAUUCUUUAGUAGCAGCUGCACAGUUGUCAUACCAGUACAUUAGGUGGCUAAUCUCUCAGAUUACUUGUUAAUAAUUUUCUAUUAAUUAAGGGUGUUGUUAAUGUUUCUUACCUCUGAUUGUCCUUUGAUUUCCAGUGAUCGUUUCCUUCCUGACAAGGCAAUUGACUUGAUCGAUGAAGCUGGUUCUCGGGUUC